UCCCUGGUGGUUUAGACAGUAAAGCGUCUGCCUACAAUGCAGGAGACCCGGGUUCGAUCCCUGGGUCGGGAA
RNAcentral lists this transfer RNA (72 nucleotides) under Bos taurus (domestic cattle). It matches the Rfam family "tRNA". From Rfam's summary of the family: Transfer RNA (tRNA) molecules are approximately 80 nucleotides in length. Their secondary structure includes four short double-helical elements and three loops (D, anti-codon, and T loops). The record is from Rfam by way of RNAcentral. RNAcentral also lists the same sequence under 1 other name. Lineage: Eukaryota; Metazoa; Chordata; Mammalia; Artiodactyla; Bovidae.